GGGGAAUUCGCCAGCACUGUCGUCGUGGUAUAACCGUAAGCUCUCGUAAGUAUGGAAGUUAACCUUCCUGAUCAGAUCCACCUCCAUGGAAAGACUUUCACGUCGAAGGAAAGCGCUCCCCAAUCGUAUUUCUUCAAUGAGCACAAGAUUGCACCUGGAAUCAAUGGACUUAUAUCUUCAUUUGCUCCUGCAUUGAUCAGAACCUCUAUCUGUAAAGCUGUGAUCUUCCCGUCGGAUUUAAACCCGACACCUGCACAAGCUGCAGCCACCUGAGAAUAUACAGAAGAAGGAAAUAAAUGUAUUAAUGAAGGAUCAACACAAAAACACACUCUACAAUAGGGGUGGUACUCGGCUGCGAAGGAGGCCGAGCAUGGAUUGGACGAGACAAGAAACUCAGACUGCGGGUUUGGAUUCAGGUUUUGUGUCGCUUGACGCCUUAUACUUUUGGUGUUAUAAGGUAAUUAUAACAAAAAUUUGCAGGUUUUUGCUGGUUUGGUUACCCGCAAGUACUUCGGGCAUAAAACCCAUGGAGACAGAUCGAGGCCAGGUACCCAAAAACUCACCAUACUAGUCUAGAACAGUUUGAAA
Tarenaya hassleriana is the source of this 588-nucleotide long non-coding RNA. RefSeq lists it as uncharacterized. The transcript is spliced from 3 exons. The record is from RefSeq and is a predicted model, not a curated record. Lineage: Eukaryota; Viridiplantae; Streptophyta; Magnoliopsida; Brassicales; Cleomaceae.